CUGACCUGCCCAGUGAUUAAUUUAACGGCCGCGGUAUACUGACCGUGCAAAGGUAGCAUAAUCAUUAGUCUUUUAAUAGAGGGCUGGAAUGAAAGGUUUAACGAGGAACUGACUGUCUCAUUUUAUUUGUGUUAAAAUUUAAUUUUUUAGUUAAAAAGCUAAAAUUUUAUUGGAAGACGAGAAGACCCUAUAGAUCUUUAUAAAAAUAUAUUUAAUUAUUAUUAUAUUAAUAUAAUUAUUUAUAUUUUUAUUUUGUUGGGGUGACAAAAAUAUAAAUAUAACUUUUUUAUUUAUUUAACAUUGAUUUAUGAAUAUAUGAUCCAUUAUUAGUGAUUAUUAGAUUAAGUUACCUUAGGGAUAACAGCGUAAUCCUCCUCCAGAGUUCAUAUUUACAGGAUGGGCUUGCGACCUCGAUGUUGGAUUAAGAUAAUAAUCAGGUGUAGCCGCUUGAUUUAUAGGUCUGUUCGACCUUUAA
Molecule: ribosomal RNA, 475 nt
Filed under: Trithemis pluvialis
Lineage: Eukaryota; Metazoa; Arthropoda; Insecta; Odonata; Libellulidae
Description: partial 16S ribosomal RNA
Rfam family: Bacterial large subunit ribosomal RNA
Source: RNAcentral